RNAcentral lists this ribosomal RNA (468 nucleotides) under uncultured bacterium. Its description in RNAcentral is "partial 16S ribosomal RNA". It matches the Rfam family "Bacterial small subunit ribosomal RNA", at positions 28 to 507 of the family's 1533-position model. The record is from RNAcentral.
GACGAACGCUGGCGGCGUGCUUAACACAUGCAAGUCGAACGGAAAGGCCCUGCUUUUGUGGGGUGCUCGAGUGGCGAACGGGUGAGUAACACGUGAGUAACCUGCCCUUGACUUUGGGAUAACUUCAGGAAACUGGGGCUAAUACCGGAUAGGAGCUCCUGCUGCAUGGUGGGGGUUGGAAAGUUUCGGCGGUUGGGGAUGGACUCGCGGCUUAUUAGCUUGUUGGUGGGGUAGUGGCUUACCAAGGCUUUGACGGGUAGCCGGCCUGAGAGGGUGACCGGCGACAAUGGGACUGAGAGACGGCCCAGACUCCUACGGGAGGCAGCAGUGGGGAAUAUGGCACAAUGGGCGGAAGCCUGAUGCAGCAACGCCGCGUGCGGGAUGACGGCCUUCGGGGUGUAAACCGCUUUCGCCUGUGACGAAGCGUGAGUGACGGUAAUGGGUAAAGAAGCACCGGCUAACUACGUG